Molecule: ribosomal RNA, 497 nt
Filed under: uncultured bacterium
Lineage: Bacteria
Description: partial 16S ribosomal RNA
Rfam family: Bacterial small subunit ribosomal RNA
Source: RNAcentral
GAUGAACGCUGGCGGCGUGCCUAAUACAUGCAAGUCGAGCGAACAGACGAGGAGCUUGCUCCUCUGACGUUAGCGGCGGACGGGUGAGUAACACGUGGAUAACCUACCUAUAAGACUGGGAUAACUUCGGGAAACCGGAGCUAAUACCGGAUAAUAUAUUGAACCGCAUGGUUCAAUAGUGAAAUACGGUUUUUCUGUCACUUAUAGAUGGAUCCCCGCCGUAUUAGCUAGUUGGUAAGGUAACGGCUUACCAAGGCGACGAUGCGUAGCCGACCUGAGAGGGUGAUCGGCCACACUGGAACUGAGACACGGUCCAGACUACUACGAGAGGCAGCAGUAGGGAAUCUGCCGCAAUGGGCGAAAGCCUGACGGAGCAACGCCGCGUGAGUGAUGAAGGUCUUCGGAUCGUAAAACUCUGUUAUUAGGGAAGAACAAAUGUGUAAGUAACUAUGCACGUCUUGACGGUAACUAAUCAGAAAGCCACGGCUAACUACGUG